GGGCUUGUAGCUCAAUGGAUAGAGCAACCUGAGGUCACAAUCGUUGACUGCAGUGUUUCUUGUGGGUUCAACUCCCACCAAGCCCC
RNAcentral lists this transfer RNA (86 nucleotides) under Bacillus sp. ISL-75. RNAcentral describes it as "tRNA-OTHER". It matches the Rfam family "tRNA". Rfam says of the family: Transfer RNA (tRNA) molecules are approximately 80 nucleotides in length. Their secondary structure includes four short double-helical elements and three loops (D, anti-codon, and T loops). Further hydrogen bonds mediate the characteristic L-shaped molecular structure. tRNAs have two regions of fundamental functional importance: the anti-codon, which is responsible for specific mRNA codon recognition, and the 3' end, to which the tRNAs corresponding amino acid is attached (by aminoacyl-tRNA synthetases). tRNAs cope with the degeneracy of the genetic code in two manners: having more than one tRNA (with a specific anti-codon) for a particular amino acid; and 'wobble' base-pairing, i.e. permitting non-standard base-pairing at the 3rd anti-codon position. Lineage: Bacteria; Bacillati; Bacillota; Bacilli; Caryophanales; Bacillaceae. The record is from RNAcentral.